This 200-nucleotide unclassified non-coding RNA is filed under the name Geoglossales sp. RNAcentral's name for it is "partial internal transcribed spacer 2". The record is from RNAcentral. Lineage: Eukaryota; Fungi; Ascomycota; Geoglossomycetes; Geoglossales.
UUAAGUUCAGCGGGUAUCCUGCCUGAUUUGAGGUCAGAUUUGCUCAAAGAGAGUGUGUAUUUCGAAGUGCGUCUUCUAAUGCGUGAAGAUCGUAGCUCAACGAGGGAGAAAUUACAACGUCGAGUUCAAGCCGAUCGACACGAGCGGUCGUCACUUGUCUGCAUCUCGGCCGAGCUGUCGCCUUCGCAGGCAACGGCAUA